RNAcentral lists this ribosomal RNA (458 nucleotides) under uncultured bacterium. RNAcentral's name for it is "SSU rRNA". It matches the Rfam family "Bacterial small subunit ribosomal RNA", at positions 26 to 518 of the family's 1533-position model. The record is from RNAcentral.
AGAAUCAACGCUGGCGGCGUGCCUAACACAUGCAAGUCGAACGAGAAAGUGGAGCAAUCCAUGAGUAAAGUGGCGCACGGGUGAGUAACACGUGACUAACCUACCCUUGAGUGGGGGAUAACCUAGAGAAAUCUGGGCUAAUACCGCAUAAUACCUUCGGGUCAAAGGAGCAAUUCGCUUUAGGAGGGGGUCGCGGCCGAUUAGUUAGUUGGCGGGGUAAUGGCCCACCAAGACUGUGAUCGGUAUCCGGCCUGAGAGGGCGCACGGACACACUGGAACUGAAACACGGUCCAGACUCCUACGGGAGGCAGCAGUGGGGAAUUUGCGCAAUGGGGGAAACCCUGACGCAGCAACGCCGCGUGGAGGAUGAAGUCCCUUGGGACGUAAACUCCUUUCGAUCGGGACGAUUAUGACGGUACCGGAAGAAGAAGCCCGGCUAACUUCGCGCCAGCAGCCGC